RNAcentral lists this ribosomal RNA (235 nucleotides) under uncultured bacterium. Its description in RNAcentral is "partial 16S ribosomal RNA". It matches the Rfam family "Bacterial small subunit ribosomal RNA", at positions 118 to 345 of the family's 1533-position model. The record is from RNAcentral.
UGGGUAACCUGCCUCGAUGACCGGGGCAACCCGAGGAAAACCCGGGCUAAUACCGGAUGUGCUACUUCACAUCAGUGAAGACAGGAAAGGAAGCUUCAGCCUCCGCAUCGAGAUGGGCCCGCGGCCCAUUAGCUUGUUGGUGAGGUAACGGCUCACCAAGGCUGCGAUGGGUAGCUGGUCUGAGAGGACGAUCAGCCACACGUGGGACUGAGACACCGGCCCAGAUCCGUACGGG